ACGGGUGAGUAACACGUGGGCAAUCUGCCCUUCACUCUGGGACAAGCCCUGGAAACGGGGUCUAAUACCGGAUAUCACUUCCACUCGCAUGGGUGGGGGUCGAAAGCUCCGGCGGUGAAGGAUGAGCCCGCGGCCUAUCAGCUUGUUGGUGAGGUAAUGGCUCACCAAGGCGACGACGGGUAGCCGGCCUGAGAGGGCGACCGGCCACACUGGGACUGAGACACGGCCCAGACUCCUACGGGAGGCAGCAGUGGGGAAUAUUGCACAAUGGGCGAAAGCCUGAUGCAGCGACGCCGCGUGAGGGAUGACGGCCUUCGGGUUGUUGACCUCUUUCAGCAGGGAAGAAGCGAAAGUGACGGUACCUGCAGAAGAAGCGCCGGCUAACUACGUGCCAGCAGCCGCGGUAAUACGUAGGGCGCAAGCGUUGUCCGGAAUUAUUGGGCGUAAAGAGCUCGUACGCGGUCUGUCGCGUCGGAUGUGAAAGCCCGGGGCUUAACCCCGGGUCUGCAUUCGAUACGGGCAGACUAGAGUGUGGUAGGGGAGAUCGGGAAUUCCUGGUGUA
RNAcentral lists this ribosomal RNA (562 nucleotides) under Streptomyces sp. HRRP152. Its description in RNAcentral is "bacterial SSU rRNA". It matches the Rfam family "Bacterial small subunit ribosomal RNA", at positions 102 to 677 of the family's 1533-position model. The record is from RNAcentral. Lineage: Bacteria; Bacillati; Actinomycetota; Actinomycetes; Kitasatosporales; Streptomycetaceae.